This 429-nucleotide ribosomal RNA is filed under the name uncultured bacterium. Its description in RNAcentral is "bacterial SSU rRNA". It matches the Rfam family "Bacterial small subunit ribosomal RNA", at positions 355 to 776 of the family's 1533-position model. The record is from RNAcentral.
UGGGGAAUAUUGGACAAUGGGCGAAAGCCUGAUCCAGCCAUGCCGCGUGUGUGAAGAAGGCUUUCGGGUUGUAAAGCACUUUCAGUGGGGAAGAAGGCUUGUCGGCCAAUACCCGGCAAGAGCGACAUCACCCACAGAAGAAGCACCGGCUAACUCCGUGCCAGCAGCCGCGGUAAUACGGAGGGUGCAAGCGUUAAUCGGAAUUACUGGGCGUAAAGCGCGCGUAGGCGGCUUGUCACGCCGGGUGUGAAAGCCCCGGGCUCAACCUGGGAACGGCAUCCGGAACGGGCAGGCUAGAGUGCAGGAGAGGAAGGUAGAAUUCCCGGUGUAGCGGUGAAAUGCGUAGAGAUCGGGAGGAAUACCAGUGGCGAAGGCGGCCUUCUGGACUGACACUGACGCUGAGGUGCGAAAGCGUGGGUAGCAAACAGG